CAAUAGCGUAUAUUAAAGUUGUUGCAGUUAAAAAGCUCGUAGUUGAAUUUCGGGUCCCCGCGCUCGGCGCUUCAUUGUGCCGUCGUGGUGUCCCUCCUCGCCGUAAGGCGUCCUUUACUGUGAAAAAAUUAGAGUGUUCAAAGCAGGCAAUCGCUUGAAUACAUUAGCAUGGAAUAAUAAGAUAGGAUCUUGUCUAUUUUGUUGGUUGCGGACAACGAUAAUGAUUAAUAGGGAUAGUUGGGGGUGUCCGUAUUGAGCUGUCAGAGGUGAAAUUCUUGGAUUUGCUCAAGACGAACUACUGCGAAAGCAUUCGCCAAGGAUGUUUUCAUUAA
This 332-nucleotide ribosomal RNA is filed under the name uncultured eukaryote. RNAcentral's name for it is "partial 18S ribosomal RNA". It matches the Rfam family "Eukaryotic small subunit ribosomal RNA", at positions 592 to 976 of the family's 1831-position model. The record is from RNAcentral.